UCCUACGGGGGGCAGCAGUGAGGAAUAUUGGUCAAUGGUCGGGAGACUGAACCAGCCAAGCCGCGUGAGGGAUGAAGGUACAGAGUAUCGUAAACCUCUUUUGUCAGGGAACAAAGGCGGGGACGUGUCCCCGGAUGAGUGUACCUGAAGAAAAAGCAUCGGCUAACUCCGUGCCAGCAGCCGCGGUAAUACGGAGGAUGCGAGCGUUAUCCGGAUUUAUUGGGUUUAAAGGGUGCGCAGGCGAUCUGUUAAGUCAGCGGUCAAAGCCCGGGGCUCAACCCCGGCCCGCCGUUGAAACUGGCAGU
Molecule: ribosomal RNA, 305 nt
Filed under: uncultured bacterium
Lineage: Bacteria
Description: bacterial SSU rRNA
Rfam family: Bacterial small subunit ribosomal RNA
Source: RNAcentral